RNAcentral lists this ribosomal RNA (484 nucleotides) under uncultured bacterium. RNAcentral describes it as "partial 16S ribosomal RNA". It matches the Rfam family "Bacterial small subunit ribosomal RNA", at positions 28 to 507 of the family's 1533-position model. The record is from RNAcentral.
GACGAACGCUGGCGGCGUGCUUAACACAUGCAAGUCGUACGGUAAGGCCCUUUCGGGGGUACCCGCGUGGCGAACGGGUGAGUAUCACGUGAGUAACCUGCCCACAACUUUGGGAUAACGCUAGGAAACUGGUGCUAAUACUGGAUAUGUGCUCCUGCUGCAUGGUGGGGGUUGGAAAGCUCCGGCGGUUGUGGAUGGACUCGCGGCCUAUCAGCUUGUUGGUGGGGUAGUGGCCUACCAAGGCGGCGACGGGUAGCCGGCCUGAGAGGAUGACCGGCCACACUGGGACUGAGACACGGCACAGACUCCUACGGGAGGCAGCAGUGGGGAAUUUUGGAGACUGGGCGAAAGCCUGAUCCAGCAAUGCCGCGUGUGUGCUGAAGGCCUUCGGGUCGUAAAUCACUGUCGGCGUGAACGAAAAGGACUGUGCCAAUACCACGGUUCGAUGACGGUACCCGCAGAAUAAGCACCGGCUAACUACGUG